This 253-nucleotide ribosomal RNA is filed under the name uncultured bacterium. RNAcentral's name for it is "partial 16S ribosomal RNA". It matches the Rfam family "Bacterial small subunit ribosomal RNA", at positions 524 to 776 of the family's 1533-position model. The record is from RNAcentral.
UACGUAGGGUGCGAGCGUUGUCCGGAAUUAUUGGGCGUAAAGGGCUCGUAGGCGGUCUGUCGCGUCGGGAGUGAAAACUCAGGGCUUAACCCUGAGCCUGCUUCCGAUACGGGCAGACUAGAGGUAUGCAGGGGAGAACGGAAUUCCUGGUGUAGCGGUGGAAUGCGCAGAUAUCAGGAGGAACACCGAUGGCGAAGGCAGGUCUCUGGGCCACUACUGACGCUGAGAAGCGAAAGCAUGGGGAGCGAACAGG